RNAcentral lists this ribosomal RNA (484 nucleotides) under uncultured bacterium. RNAcentral describes it as "partial 16S ribosomal RNA". It matches the Rfam family "Bacterial small subunit ribosomal RNA", at positions 30 to 507 of the family's 1533-position model. The record is from RNAcentral.
AUUGAACGCUGGCGGCAGGCCUAACACAUGCAAGUCGAGCGGAUGAAGGGAGCUUGCUCCUGGAUUCAGCGGCGGACGGGUGAGUAAUGCCUAGGAAUCUGCCUGGUAGUGGGGGAUAACGUCCGGAAACGGGCGCUAAUACCGCAUACGUCCUGAGGGAGAAAGUGGGGGAUCUUCGGACCCCACGCUAUCAGAUGAGCCUAGGUCGGAGUAGCUAGUUGGUGGGGUAAAGGCCUACCAAGGCGACGAUCCGUAACUGGUCUGAGAGGAUGAUCAGUCACACUGGAACUGAGACACGGUCCAGACUCCUACGGGAGGCAGCAGUGGGGAAUAUUGGACCAUGGGCGAAAGCCUGCUCCAGCCAUGCCGCGUGUGUGAAGAAGGUCUUCGGAUUGUAAAGCACUUUAAGUUGGGAGGAAGGGCAGUAAGUUAAUACCUUGCUGUUUUGACGUUACCAACAGAAUAAGCACCGCCUAACUUCGUG